AUACGUAGGGGGCAAGCGUUGUCCGGAAUUAUUGGGCGUAAAGCGCGCGCAGGCGGUCUCUUAAGUCUGAUGUGAAAGCCCACGGCUCAACCGUGGAGGGUCAUUGGAAACUGGGGGACUUGAGUGUAGGAGAGGAAAGUGGAAUUCCACGUGUAGCGGUGAAAUGCGUAGAGAUGUGGAGGAACACCAGUGGCGAAGGCGACUUUCUGGCCUAUAACUGACGCUGAGGCGCGAAAGCGUGGGGAGCAAACAGGAUUAGAUACCCUGGUAGUCCACGCCGUAAACGAUGAGUGCUAGGUGUUAGGGGUUUCGAUACCCUUAGUGCCGGCGUUAACACAUUAAGCACUCCGCCUGGGGAGUACGGCCGCAAGGCUGAA
This 377-nucleotide ribosomal RNA is filed under the name uncultured bacterium. RNAcentral's name for it is "bacterial SSU rRNA". It matches the Rfam family "Bacterial small subunit ribosomal RNA", at positions 523 to 898 of the family's 1533-position model. The record is from RNAcentral.